UGCACGGAGAGUUUGAUCCUGGCUCAGGACGAACGCUGGCGGUGCGCUUCAUGCAUGCAAGUCGGACGAGAGGACAGGCUUCGGUCUGCGAUCUAGUGGCGGACGGCUGAGUAACACGUGAGCAAUCUGCCCUCGGGUGGGGGACAACUCCGGGAAAUCGGAGCUAAUACCGCAUGAUGUUCUUCCAUGCAAGUGGAAGGACCAAGGGUUUCGACCGCCUGAGGAGGAGCUCGCGGCCUAUCAGCUUGUUGGUGAGGUAAUGGCUCACCAAGGCGACGACGGGUAACCGGUCUGAGAGGAUGAUCGGUCAGAGGGGGACUGAGACACGGCCCCCACUCCUACGGGAGGCAGCAGCAGGGAAUCUUGCGCAAUGGGCGAAAGCCUGACGCAGCGACACCGCGUGGGGGAUGAAGGCUUUCGGGUUGUAAACCCCUUUUGCCAGGGAAGAAGAUCUGACGGUACCUGGCGAAUAAGGCCCGGCCAACUACGUGCCAGCAGCCGCGGUAAAACGUAGGGGCCAAGCGUUGUCCGGAAUUAUUGGGCGUAAAGGGCGCGUAGGCGGCCCGGUAAGUCUCUUGCGAAAGCUCCCGGCCCAACCGGGAGAGGUCAAGGGAAACUACCAGGCUUGAGGACGGCAGAGGAAGGUGGAAUUCCCGGUGUAGCGGUGGAAUGCGUAGAUAUCGGGAGGAACACCA
Molecule: ribosomal RNA, 695 nt
Filed under: Roseibacillus sp.
Lineage: Bacteria; Pseudomonadati; Verrucomicrobiota; Verrucomicrobiia; Verrucomicrobiales; Verrucomicrobiaceae
Description: bacterial SSU rRNA
Rfam family: Bacterial small subunit ribosomal RNA
Source: RNAcentral